Molecule: long non-coding RNA, 2802 nt
Organism: Callithrix jacchus (white-tufted-ear marmoset)
Lineage: Eukaryota; Metazoa; Chordata; Mammalia; Primates; Cebidae
Source: Ensembl
AAAUAAAAUAUUUCCGGUUAUGUUGAUUAAAGUGCUUAUCAGGCUGUCUGAUGGGCAUGGUGGCUCACGCCUGUAAGCCCAGCAUUUUGAGAGGCCAAGGAGUUUGAGAGGCCACUUGAGGUCAGGAAUUUGAGACCAGCCUGGCCAACAUGGUGAAACUCAUCUCUACCAAAAAAUAAAAAAAUUAGCCAGACCUGGUGGUGCAUGCCUGUAGUCCAAACUACUCGGGAGGCUGAGGCAGGAGAAUCACUCGAACUUGAGAGGCGGAGGUUGCAGUGAGCCAAAAUCUCACCCUUGCACUCCAGCCUGGGCCACAGAGCAAGACCCUGUUAAAAAAAUAAAAAUAAAAAUAAAUACAUAAAAGAGUACUUAUCAGGCUGUCUGGCACAUAGAAAGGUGCAAAAAAUGGUAGUUUUAUGAAAAAUAUUAGGGGUGACACAAGGACUAAAGUGAACUCCCGCCCGUGAAAACCAUUUCAACUGGUGGUGGAGUUGUGGAUGAACAGUUUAUCCUUUUUAUUUAGAAUCCUAAUGUGGUUUUGCAAUGACAUUGCUAAAUACUUGUUGUGAGUAAGGAUUAUAUUUGCUGACGGGUUAACCACUCCCAGCAAGUGUGAUCCCUUGGGUUUGUCACAAGGAGCACCUGGGUGGGGCUGGGGAGCAUUGAGUGUGUGGAAAAGGGGGUGGUGGAGACAGGGGGUCUGGAGCCUGUGUGAGGAGAAAGGAGCCACUGAGCCUGGAGGGAGGGGAGACAGGUGGAUGUAGACAGAGAGAGAAAGCCCCCUCCACAAGGCAGCCUGGACCAAAGCAAAGAGGUCUGUUUUCAUUUCAUUCAUUUAUUAUUUUGUUUAUUUGCGAUGCUGGUUUCUCAGUUAUCUUUCUUUCCCGAACAGUUCUCUCUGGGCAGCCCUGGCCAGACUGCAACAUGAGAAUCGAUCUGACUUCAGCCUCUGUCUGUAAACUUCUCAUGCUACAGCCUGGGGUGGGGUCGUGCGAACCUAGUCCUCUGGAGGCAGAAACUAAAAGAGGUAGCAUUACUGGAGCCCAGAACCCUGAGCCCAGGGCCCAGUCAACCAGUGGAAGCUGGAACUGUGCAAGCCUGACCUGCAGGAUUUGAAGCCAUGGGAGAAUUGCAGGUGCUGUUGGAGAAGCAGUAGCUUCCUCUACAAAAUAGAAGAAAAAUAUCUUGGCUUCUUUUAUUUCUCCUUCUCUCUAAUCUCUUAUUCACACAGAAGAUGGAAAAUAUAGGCCAGGCAUGGUGGCUCACACCUGUAAACUCAGCACUUUGGGAGGCUGAGGUGGGAGGAUCACCUGAGGUCAGGGGUUCGAGACCAGCCUUGCCAACAUGGUGAAACCCUGUCUCUACUAAAAAUACAAAAAUUAUCUGGGUAUGGUGGUGCACACCUAUAAUCCCAGCUACUCGGGAGACUGAGGCAUGAGAAUUGCUUGAACCUGGGAGGCAGAGGUUGCAGUGAGCUGAGCUGAGAUUGCACCACUGCACUCCAGCCUCCAGCCUGGGUGACAAAGCGAGAAUCUGUCUAACACACACAAAAAGAAGAUGGAAAAUAUAACUUUCAGGUAUCAGCCUGGCUGUGAUAUGGAGCAGAGGAGGAGGAGAGGAAUAGAUCUGAGAAAAGGAAAAGUAUCUUUUUCAUAGUUGAGAAAUAUGUAAAGACAGUCAGAUUCUAGUAUCCCUGGAAGGCAAUCACACAGUCAAACCCAAGAAGAGAGGAGAAUAAGGGUAAAAUUUUGCUAACUUUAUUGGCAAAAUCUAAAGAACACAUAGGGAAUAGGCUCUGAGGGUGCCAGAACAAGGAGGGAGUAGUAUAAUUUUAGAUUGGACCAAACAUAUUGAUAUGGAUAUAUUUACUAGAGAUCCUUAUUUCAAAAGGCGAGUUUGAGUAACCAGAAGGGUUCUAAUGGUUUGCUUGGUUGGUGGAUUGAAUCUUGAACUAACCAGUGUUCCACUAAACAAAGUUAAGAUGCCAUAAAUUCCUGAACUUCCUUGGUAUAAUGUAGAAGGUAGGAGGUUGAAAUAUUAAAUACAUUUCCAUGUGCAAUGUCUUCCCCACUCCCUAACCAUAUUCCCAGAACAGGCCCAGAAGACAACUGAUUGUGAAGUUACUGAGAAAUACAUUAGUGAGGAAAGCACUGUGAUCUCUGAAAAAUACUGUCACGGCUGUUCUCUGUAAGGCUGGGGAUCGUAAUAGAAAGCUGAAAGCUGCAGUUGAGAUGGGCUCUCUGAUUUCAGAAGGAAUUAAAGGACCCUAUGGUGGCAGACUCCAAGUAGUAGCACUCAGCCACUGGCAGCAAGAUGGACAUAAUUACCAACCAGGCAUAGAAAAGGAGUUCAGAUGCUGAAUGAAUAACAAAUGCCCUCUGCUGUCUAUCCCUCUGUCUGUCCACGGACAUAUUGCUUUCUUCUAAUACUUACACUUCAGUGUAAAGCUUCUACCAACUAUAAUGCCAGCAACCAUCUUUUGAAAAACUGAUAAACAUUCACCCAUCCCAGAGGAGUCAACCUAAAUCUCAUCAGUAACUAUAUCCAGCUGUGAGUCUACAAUCUCUGGAUGACAGUCAUUUCUUUGGUAAUUCUACUUUCCUGUCUCAAAAUUAUAUAAUAUGUGCAGUAAAUUAUAAAAUUAACCACCAGCAACACUUUAUUAAAGAAUAAUGAGGAAAAGGAAAGAAGAGAAAAACUGGGCUAAAAUAGUUUAGUGCAUUGAUUGAAUCUGCGACUCAGUUGUAAAACAAACCGUUAUUUUAUGUACCAUUAUGGAAGUGAUCCAAUUAAAUAACGACA